CUACGGGGCGCACCAGUGAGGAAUAUUGCACAAUGGGGGGAACCCUGAUGCAGCAACGCCGCGUGGAGGAUGACGCAUUUCGGUGUGUAAACUCCUUUUAUAUGUCAAGAAAAUGACGGUAGCAUAUGAAUAAGCACCGGCUAACUCCGUGCCAGCAGCCGCGGUAAUACGGAGGGUGCAAGCGUUACUCGGAAUCACUGGGCGUAGAGGACGCGUAGGCGGGUUGGAAAGUCAGGUGUGAAAUCCUACAGCUUAACCGUAGAACUGCACUUGAAACUUCUAAUCUAGAGUAUGGGAGGGGGAGAUGGAAUUAGUGGUGUAGGGGUAAAAUCCGUAGAUAUCACUAGGAAUACCUAAAGCGAAGGCGAUCUCCUGGAACAUUACUGACGCUAAGGCGUGAAAGCGUGGGGAGCAAACAGGAUUAGAUACCCGUGUAGUC
This 439-nucleotide ribosomal RNA is filed under the name uncultured bacterium. RNAcentral's name for it is "partial 16S ribosomal RNA". It matches the Rfam family "Bacterial small subunit ribosomal RNA", at positions 339 to 795 of the family's 1533-position model. The record is from RNAcentral.